CAAUUAUUACUUUUUAAUAUGUGUAUAUAUUUUUGAUGACUACAAUAUAAAUUUUUUAUUAAAUAAUUCUUAACCUUAGUUCCUUCUACAUCUGCUAUAAGAGUUACAUCUUCAGCACCUACUACAACUAUUCCAUGUGUUCAACCUUCUGCUGUCGAAUCUACACAGCUUAUCACAGCUACAUUUACGUGUUCAACGAAUGUUCCUUCUACAUCUGCUAUUAGUGGUAUGUUUACAAGUUUCUACUUUUUAAUAUGUUUAUGCUUAUCUUGGCAAUUACAGUAUUUAUUUUUAAUCACAACUUUGAUAACAUUUAGUUACAUCUUCAGCGACUUCUACGACUAGUAAGUUUAAAAACUAUUAUUUGCAAACAUUUACACACCUUUAUUAUCAAUUGCAAAUUUUUAUAGAAACUUUUUUUAUCUUUAUUUCCAUGCGUUUAACUUUCUGCUGGUAAAUUUAUGAUUUAAAAAUGUUUUUGAAUGAUUAUUGAAUUUAUGUUUAUAUUAUACACUAUUUAAUGCAUUAGUAUUGUGUUAUCCCUCAAAGUGCAGUAGAAUGAAAUUAUUACUCUCAUUAAUAUUGUUUAAGAUAUCAUUGAUUAAUACGUUGUUCAUAUUAUUUAUUCAGCCUAUCACUUUUGCAUAAAUUGUUUUAUACUAAAUUUUACAUAAUGCCAUUCAGUACUAAUCUAUUUACGAAUCAUUGUCAUUUAGAGCUAACCUAUCAAGACUAUCUAUUAUAUAGGUCCCAGCAUCUUGGACCCACCAGCAAUAGUUCAUUUAAGCGAUGAGUCCGGAAGGGGUAAUAAUUCUUUUAAAUGGCCCUAAACAUUUAAAAAAUUUUUAUUGACAUUUUUUGCAAGUUUGAAUGAGAAGGGAAGGGGGGCGCUGGGUGUAGCUCACGCCCCUACCUGUACUAACAUAUUAAAAUAAUCUUGAAUACUUGUUUCUCUUUUCCAAUAAACUUAAUUUAAAACUAUUUUUCAAAUAUCUUUUAAAUUUUUUUUUAGGUUGGAUACGACUGGGCAGAAAGGAGGGGGGGGGGGCGUUUGGCGUGGCACAUGUCCCGUCCCUUAUGUCAACUUAUACACCACUUGUAUUUGCUGUAAAGUAAGAAAUUUUAAUUUAAAAUUUUUCAUACAAAAUAUAAUCAUUCUUUUUUAGGUUCAAAUAUUUAUAAGAAUGUAGCAUUUCACUACGAGGGUGUUAAAACGUAACAAAGACAUCCACCCUUCAAUUUAAAAUAGACCACUAAUAUUUGGAAAUAUAUUGGAAGCAAAUUAGAACAAUUUUUUGUGUAUAAAGAUGACAUAUUUUAUCAGAAAAACAUUCUUUC
This is a long non-coding RNA of Hydra vulgaris (swiftwater hydra), 1338 nucleotides long. RefSeq lists it as uncharacterized. NCBI's taxonomy places the organism in Eukaryota, Metazoa, Cnidaria, Hydrozoa, Anthoathecata, Hydridae. The record is from RefSeq and is a predicted model, not a curated record.